This 296-nucleotide unclassified non-coding RNA is filed under the name Thalassobacter stenotrophicus DSM 16310. RNAcentral's name for it is "Long range pseudoknot". The record is from RNAcentral. Lineage: Bacteria; Pseudomonadati; Pseudomonadota; Alphaproteobacteria; Rhodobacterales; Roseobacteraceae.
ACCAAUGACUAUGAUGUGAAAAUGCGCAACGUUUACAAGUUCCUAGAGAACGGUGACAAGGUCAAGAUCACGCUACGCUUCCGCGGCCGUGAAAUGGCGCACCAGAACUUGGGCCGUGAGCUGCUUGAGCGUGUUGCCGGUGACGUUGACGGAUUGGGCAAAGUUGAGAACAUGCCCAAGAUGGAAGGUCGUCAGAUGGUCAUGAUGAUUGGCCCCGUCGCCCGCUAGGCUUCGAUCAACGCAUAUGGCCGUAUUUAAGACGGUCUGACAUUCCAAAAGGGCGGUUUCUCCGCCCU